Molecule: ribosomal RNA, 465 nt
Filed under: Vreelandella stevensii
Lineage: Bacteria; Pseudomonadati; Pseudomonadota; Gammaproteobacteria; Oceanospirillales; Halomonadaceae
Description: partial 16S ribosomal RNA
Rfam family: Bacterial small subunit ribosomal RNA
Source: RNAcentral
CCUACGGGCGACUGCAGUGGGGAAUAUUGGACAAUGGGGGCAACCCUGAUCCAGCCAUGCCGCGUGUGUGAAGAAGGCCCUCGGGUUGUAAAGCACUUUCAGUGAGGAAGAACGCCUGGUGGUUAAUACCCAUCAGGAAAGACAUCACUCACAGAAGAAGCACCGGCUAACUCCGUGCCAGCAGCCGCGGUAAUACCGAGGGUGCGAGCGUUAAUCGGAAUUACUGGGCGUAAAGCGCGCGUAGGUGGCUUGAUAAGCCGGUUGUGAAAGCCCCGGGCUCAACCUGGGAACGGCAUCCGGAACUGUCAAGCUAGAGUGCAGGAGAGGAAGGUAGAAUUCCCGGUGUAGCGGUGAAAUGCGUAGAGAUCGGGAGGAAUACCAGUGGCGAAGGCGGCCUUCUGGACUGACACUGACACUGAGGUGCGAAAGCGUGGGUAGCAAACAGGAUUAGAUACCCCUGUAGUC